RNAcentral lists this ribosomal RNA (253 nucleotides) under uncultured bacterium. Its description in RNAcentral is "partial 16S ribosomal RNA". It matches the Rfam family "Bacterial small subunit ribosomal RNA", at positions 524 to 776 of the family's 1533-position model. The record is from RNAcentral.
UACGUAGGGGGCAAGCGUUGUCCGGAAUCAUUGGGCGUAAAGAGCGCGUAGGCGGCCCUGUAAGUCCGCUGUGAAAGUCAAGGGCUCAACCCUUGGAUGCCGGUGGAUACUGCAGGGCUAGAGUCCGGAAGAGGCGAGUGGAAUUCCUGGUGUAGCGGUGAAAUGCGCAGAUAUCAGGAGGAACACCGAUGGCGAAGGCAGCUCGCUGGGACGGUACUGACGCUGAGGAGCGAAAGCAUGGGGAGCGAACAGG